This 253-nucleotide ribosomal RNA is filed under the name uncultured bacterium. Its description in RNAcentral is "partial 16S ribosomal RNA". It matches the Rfam family "Bacterial small subunit ribosomal RNA", at positions 524 to 776 of the family's 1533-position model. The record is from RNAcentral.
UACAGAGGGGGCGAGCGUUGUCCGGAUUUACUGGGCGUAAAGCGCGCGCAGGCGGCACUUCAAGUAAGGUGUGAAAUCUCCCUGCUCAACGGGGAGGGUGCACUUUAGACUGAGGAGCUAGAGGACGGUAGAGGGGGGUGGAAUUGCUGGUGUAGCGGUGAAAUGCGUAGAGAUCAGCAGGAACGCCCGUGGCGAAGGCGGCCCCCUGGGCCGUACCUGACGCUGAGGCGCGAAGGCUAGGGGAGCGAACGGG